GUAGUUAGCCGGGGCUUCCUCCUUGGGUACCGUCACUUCUUCGUCCCCAAGGACAGAGGUUUACAAUCCGAAAACCUUCUUCCCUCACGCGGCGUUGCUGGGUCAGAGUUGCCUCCAUUGCCCAAUAUUCCCCACUGCUGCCUCCCGUAGGAGUCUGGACCGUUUCUCAGUUCCAGUGUGGCCGAUCACCCUCUCAGGUCGGCUACCCAUCGUUGGCUUGGUGGGCCGUUACCUCACCAACUACCUAAUGGGACGCGAGCCCCUCUACAAGCGAUAAAUCUUUUACCCCUGAGCCAUGCGGCUCUGUGGUCUUAUGCGGUAUUAGCACCCGUUUCCAGAUGUUGUCCCCCUCUUGUAGGCAGGUCGCUCACGCGUUACUCACCCGUCCGCCACUAACAUUUCGCAAGUGCAAGCACUUGCUGAUGUCCGUUCGACUUGCAUGUGUUAAGCACGCCGCCAGCGUUCGUCCUGAGCCAGAAUCGAACCCUGA
Molecule: ribosomal RNA, 490 nt
Filed under: uncultured bacterium
Lineage: Bacteria
Description: partial 16S ribosomal RNA
Source: RNAcentral